RNAcentral lists this ribosomal RNA (467 nucleotides) under uncultured Smithella sp. RNAcentral's name for it is "bacterial SSU rRNA". It matches the Rfam family "Bacterial small subunit ribosomal RNA", at positions 916 to 1381 of the family's 1533-position model. Lineage: Bacteria; Pseudomonadati; Thermodesulfobacteriota; Syntrophia; Syntrophales; Smithellaceae. The record is from RNAcentral.
ACGGGGCCCGCACAAGCGGUGGAGCAUGUGGUUUAAUUCGAUGCAACGCGAAGAACCUUACCUGGGCUUGACAUCCCAAGAAUCCCCUGGAAACAGGGGAGUGCCUUCGGGAGGCUUGGAGACAGGUGCUGCAUGGCUGUCGUCAGCUCGUGUCGUGAGAUGUUGGUUAAGUCCCGCAACGAGCGCAACCCUAUUGUUAGUUGCCAUCAUUCAGUUGGGCACUCUAGCGAGACUGCCGGUAAUAAACCGGAGGAAGGUGGGGAUGACGUCAAAUCAUCAUGCCCCUUAUGACCUGGGCUACACACGUGCUACAAUGGUUGGUACAACGAGUUGCGAGUCGGUGACGGCGAGCUAAUCUCUUAAAGCCAAUCUCAGUUCGGAUUGUAGGCUGCAACUCGCCUACAUGAAGUCGGAAUCGCUAGUAAUCGCGGAUCAGCACGCCGCGGUCGAAUACGUUCCCGGGCCUU